GAUGAAGAACGCAGCGAAACGCGAUAGUUAAUGUGAAUUGCAGAAUUCAGUGAAUCAUCGAAUCUUUGAACGCACAUUGCGCCCGCCAGUAUUCUGGCGGGCAUGCCUGUUCGAGCGUCAUUACAACCCUCAGGCCCCCGGGCCUGGCGUUGGGGAUCGGCGGAAGCCCCCUGCGGGCACAACGCCGUCCCCCAAAUACAGUGGCGGUCCCGCCGCAGCUUCCAUUGCGUAGUAGCUAACACCUCGCAACUGGAGAGCGGCGCGGCCACGCCGUAAAACACCCAACUUCUGAAUGUUGACCUCGAAUCAGGUAGGAAUACCCGCUGAACUUAAGCAUAUCAAUAAGCGGAGGA
Molecule: unclassified non-coding RNA, 353 nt
Filed under: soil metagenome
Description: partial contains 5.8S ribosomal RNA, internal transcribed spacer 2, and large subunit ribosomal RNA
Rfam family: 5.8S ribosomal RNA (bases 1-120)
Source: RNAcentral